This 253-nucleotide ribosomal RNA is filed under the name uncultured bacterium. RNAcentral's name for it is "partial 16S ribosomal RNA". It matches the Rfam family "Bacterial small subunit ribosomal RNA", at positions 524 to 776 of the family's 1533-position model. The record is from RNAcentral.
UACGUAGGGUGCAAGCGUUAAUCGGAAUUACUGGGCGUAAAGGGCGCGUAGGCGGCCCGCUAAGUCGAACGUGAAAUCCCCGGGCUCAACCCGGGAACUGCGUCCGAUACUGGCGGGCUUGAAUCCGGGAGAGGGAUGCGGAAUUCCAGGUGUAGCGGUGAAAUGCGUAGAUAUCUGGAGGAACACCGGUGGCGAAGGCGGCAUCCUGGACCGGUAUUGACGCUGAGGCGCGAAAGCCAGGGGAGCAAACGGG